RNAcentral lists this ribosomal RNA (261 nucleotides) under uncultured prokaryote. RNAcentral describes it as "partial 16S ribosomal RNA". It matches the Rfam family "Bacterial small subunit ribosomal RNA", at positions 524 to 784 of the family's 1533-position model. The record is from RNAcentral.
UACGUAGGGUGCAAGCGUUGUCCGGAAUUAUUGGGCGUAAAGAGCUCGUAGGCGGUGUGUCGCGUCUGCCGUGAAAACCUGAGGCUUAACCGUGGGCGUGCGGUGGAUACGGGCACACUUGAGUUCGGUAGGGGAGACUGGAAUUCCUGGUGUAGCGGUGGAAUGCGCAGAUAUCAGGAGGAACACCGAUGGCGAAGGCAGGUCUCUGGGCCACUACUGACGCUGAGAAGCGAAAGCAUGGGGAGCGAACAGGAUUAGAUA